Molecule: ribosomal RNA, 527 nt
Filed under: uncultured bacterium
Lineage: Bacteria
Description: bacterial SSU rRNA
Rfam family: Bacterial small subunit ribosomal RNA
Source: RNAcentral
AACGCCGCGUGUGUGAUGAAGGCUUUCGGGUCGUAAAGCACUGUUGUAUGGGAAGAAAUGCUAAAAUAGGGAAUGAUUUUAGUUUGACGGUACCAUACCAGAAAGGGACGGCUAAAUACGUGCCAGCAGCCGCGGUAAUACGUAUGUCCCGAGCGUUAUCCGGAUUUAUUGGGCGUAAAGCGAGCGCAGACGGUUGAUUAAGUCUGAUGUGAAAGCCCGGAGCUCAACUCCGGAAUGGCAUUGGAAACUGGUUAACUUGAGUGUUGUAGAGGUAAGUGGAACUCCAUGUGUAGCGGUGGAAUGCGUAGAUAUAUGGAAGAACACCAGUGGCGAAGGCGGCUUACUGGACAACAACUGACGUUGAGGCUCGAAAGUGUGGGUAGCAAACAGGAUUAGAUACCCUGGUAGUCCACACCGUAAACGAUGAAUACUAGGUGUUAGGAGGUUUCCGCCUCUUAGUGCCGAAGCUAACGCAUUAAGUAUUCCGCCUGGGGAGUACGACCGCAAGGUUGAAACUCAAAGGAAUU